RNAcentral lists this long non-coding RNA (672 nucleotides) under Amborella trichopoda. Its description in RNAcentral is "long non-coding RNA (ATRI_LNC002901)". Lineage: Eukaryota; Viridiplantae; Streptophyta; Magnoliopsida; Amborellales; Amborellaceae. The record is from RNAcentral.
CUAAAUUAACAAUUUGAACUUUUUAAACUGUUUAAAUUAACAAUUUGAAUUUUUAAAUUAAAAAUUUAAAUUAACUAUUUUAUUGUUAAAUAGUUUUUAAAUAUUUAGGGCCCUUUUUUCUGUAAUUUUGUUGAGGGAAAUCAAGUCACUCAAUUAAUUGAAAGAUUAUGGAAAAUUUUGAAUUUUGAGAAGUUUGAAUAAUCAAAGAAAACAUGUAUAAGAGAUUUAUACAAGAGAUUGGAAAAUAUAACAUAUUUUUUAAAUUUUUAUUAUUUGAUAGGAUUAAGUUAUGGACGCUAAAGGGUAAUGUUCUAACACCUUUCUUUGAAUCAUGAUGGUUUAUUUAAAGAGUGUAUGGCUCAAAUCUCUCACUCCGUAGGUCUCUUAUGAUCAAUAGUCUGGAUCUAAUCUCCUUAAAGAUGGCUAGCCCAAAGAAACCGUAGCUCUAGAGAAAUUCUUUAAAUUGGGGCCCAAUCUCCACACUUUCUCUACCCCUUCUCAUCUCUCUCUCUCUCUCUCUGUCUCUCUUCUAUCUCUUAGUGACACAUCACCCUCUCUCAUCUCUCCAGCCCAUCGUUCUUCCUUAAAUAAUAUUUAGAAAAGAGUAAAGGGGGCACACCCCAUCCAUAGUAGGAAGAAGAGGAGGGCCGCCCCAAGCUUUAUGAAAUGGGG